CUAUGGUGCCAGCUGCAAAAAGCCAUGCAGGAGGGUGGGAGGCAGCCGCUGUGCUCCACUGGGGGAACGAGGUCACUGGUAAAACUAAGACUGGGGUAAGGGAGUAUCCAUCCUGUACGCUGGCAUAGGAAGAUGUCAACAAAUACAGCACGCAGUGACAUGAAGAACAAGCCUCUCCCACUUUCUUCUGAGAUGACAAAUAUUCCUGGUGCUGAAGACCCCGAUGCAUCUGUGAAUUCAGCUGUAUUUGUGCAUUUUGCAGCAAGAUGCUUUCUCUAAUUAAGCAAUUUUCACUAAUACAAUUCAAUUCAUUUCGCGUUAACCUUUCCCCCUUUUUCCUAUAGGAUUAGCAGGGAAGCAUCUUGCUUUAGAGUCUUGUAAAGAGCUUUUCAUCCCAACUGCAACCCACUAUUUCCAACAAGUUGGUCAGCCCAGUUCCUGCACGUUUUAUUUCAAUAGACGAAAGAUGUGCUGGUUGGAGAGGGGUGGUUUGUUCAGAAAUACUCAUCUAGAAAGUCAUUUGUUUUCAUCAGAGCUGCUCAAGUGAAACAGGUGGAAAAUUCCCAGCCAACAGCAGGGUUGGCUCCUACCUGCCCACAUCACAAAGAACCACAGAGAGGGUCCCUGCUGGAAUGGCACGGCCACAAAAAUUGCAAGUCAAGGUGAAAAGAGAGGCCUGAAGUCUGGAAAGUGACAGCAAAAAAAUCUCACAAACCACUUGAACCCUGGCCUGCUAUAAACAAUGCCACCAAACGUGUGAUUCACCCUUUUGUGAGAGCAGUGCUCCCGUCCACAGAUUUCCAUGCUGCUCACUCGGCAAAAGAUCUCAGUUCUGAAGUUGGUAACAAAUAACCCCAUAAUUAACCUCAUCCCCCAAAUCUCAGAUCCACUCUCAAAAUUUGACACCUGCCCCCUCCUGUCAGCUCAGGUAAAAUAACACCCAGAGCUCCAGCACAGGUUUCCAUCUGCAGAUGAUCCCCAGGCUUUCCCCCCUCAUCUCCCUGAGCUGCCUCUCAUUUGUCUGAGCCAUAAAGUCCUCCAGCUGUGCAUACCCAAAUCUCACUACCUGGAAGACUAGUAGUGAUGCUGCCCAAUCCUACUCUGCACAGGGAUCCUUUCAGACCCAGAAAGCCACCCCAGUGGCAGGCAGUGGGUCUGGCAGGGCAGCACACCAUGGGGCUGUUUCUCUUUGCUCACCCAGCACCCCGCCUGCCCUGUGCUGGUGCAGAAAGCUUUAAACAACCGGGCUGUGAAGCCCAGCCUCGCUUCCCCACACCUCAGUUUGCUGAGUAUUAGUAUUUAUCUUUGCUUGCUGCUGGCAACUGCUAAUUUAGCUACAUUGGCCGCUUGUGUAGUUUUAACAUUGCUCUCCUGCUCCAGCCAAGGCAGCUCCUUAAUAAAUCAAAAGCCUGGAAGGUUCACAUAGAACACAGAGGCCUUUACGGUGUGCGUGAAGAUGGGAGCAGAACUUCCUGACAUU
Coturnix japonica (Japanese quail) is the source of this 1480-nucleotide long non-coding RNA. RefSeq lists it as uncharacterized. Lineage: Eukaryota; Metazoa; Chordata; Aves; Galliformes; Phasianidae. The record is from RefSeq and is a predicted model, not a curated record.